GACGAACGCUGGCGGCGUACUUAACACAUGCAAGUCGAACGGAAAGGCCCUGCUUUUGUGGGGUGCUCGAGUGGCGAACGGGUGAGUAACACGUGAGUAACCUGCCCUUGACUUUGGGAUAACUUCAGGAAACUGGGGCUAAUACCGGAUAGGAGCUCCUGCUGCAUGGUGGGGGUUGGAAAGUUUCGGCGGUUGGGGAUGGACUCGCGGCUUAUCAGCUUGUUGGUGGGGUAGUGGCUUACCAAGGCUUCGACGGGUAGCCGGCCUGAGAGGGUGACCGGCCACACGGGAACUGGGACACGGUCCAGACUCCUGCGGGAGGCAGCAGGAGGGAAUCGUCCGCGAUGGGCGAGAGCCUGGCGGAGCAACGCCGCGUGAGUGAUGAAGGUCUUCGGAUCGGAAAACUCUGUGAUUAGGGAAGAACAAACGUGUAAGUAACUGUGCACGUCUUGACGGUACCUAAUCAGAAAGCCACGGCUAACUACGUG
RNAcentral lists this ribosomal RNA (488 nucleotides) under uncultured bacterium. RNAcentral's name for it is "partial 16S ribosomal RNA". It matches the Rfam family "Bacterial small subunit ribosomal RNA", at positions 28 to 507 of the family's 1533-position model. The record is from RNAcentral.